ACCUGGCUCACACCGGUUUAAACUCAGAUCAUGUAAAAUUUUAAAGGUCGAACAGACCUAAUUUACCAGCUACUGCACCAGUAAUUAAUUUUAAUCCAACAUCGAGGUCGCAAUCUAUUCUUUUGAUACGAACUCUAAGAAAAAUUACGCUGUUAUCCCUAAGGUAAUUUAUUCUUUUAAUCUACACUUUAGGAUCAUAAACUUACAAAUUAAUAUAAAAAUAUAGAAAAGUUAAAUUAAUUUUCCCAUCACCCCAAUAAAAUAUAUAAAACUCUAUAGGGUCUUCUCGUCUUCUAUAGAAAUCUAAGCUUUUUCACUUAAAAAUAAAAUUUUAAAAAAUUUUUCCAGAGACAGCUAUUUUUUCAUCAAACCUUUCAUACAAGCUUUCAAUUAAAAAACUAGUGAUUAUGCUACCUUUGCACGGUCAAUAUACCGCGGCCAUUUAAUCUCCUCAGUGGGCAGGUCAGACCUGAAAUCAUAAUCAACAAGCC
RNAcentral lists this ribosomal RNA (491 nucleotides) under Trigonopterus pararugosus. RNAcentral describes it as "partial 16S ribosomal RNA". The record is from RNAcentral. Lineage: Eukaryota; Metazoa; Arthropoda; Insecta; Coleoptera; Curculionidae.